Molecule: unclassified non-coding RNA, 522 nt
Filed under: Hevea brasiliensis (rubber tree)
Lineage: Eukaryota; Viridiplantae; Streptophyta; Magnoliopsida; Malpighiales; Euphorbiaceae
Source: RNAcentral
GCCCAUUUGUGAUUUGUUGGGCUUUUUGCAUUGUUGGCCCAAUUUGCAAGGAGGAGGGUGUAGCUUAGGUAACCAAGGUAUCAUGGUUAAUGUCAACAUUCCCAUCAUUUCGAAAAUGGAGGCAGAAGCAAUAGUCCAAAAUCGACCAAUAUAUGCAUCGGAAAUAAAAGCACCAAUUAAUGGUAUGAAAUUAGUAACACCAGACCAUAUAUUAAGAACAUUGGAGGCAGAAACUUGGUCCAAAUGAAAUACUUGUAAUAAAAAUUGCAUGAAAUUUGCUAUUAACCCUAUUGAUGCCAAUCUCUCAAAUGUCUCAUUUCCUAGAACAUAAGGCAUAGCUCUCCAUCCCCCGGGUUUUCUCCGGCGUGUUUUGGCCGGAGAAUCACUACCGGAGGUCUGUUUUUCCUCAUCGGAGACACCAUUUUCCGGCAAGGGGAAGGACAUUGAAGAAUUGUUAUUUUUUUUGUCCUCCAUAAUGAUAAUAAUAUAUAGUAGUAUAUCUCCUAGAACAUAAGGCAUAGC